This is a long non-coding RNA of Daphnia magna, 2837 nucleotides long. RefSeq lists it as uncharacterized. The transcript is spliced from 2 exons. The record is from RefSeq and is a predicted model, not a curated record. NCBI's taxonomy places the organism in Eukaryota, Metazoa, Arthropoda, Branchiopoda, Diplostraca, Daphniidae.
GUGAUAGAACAGGUGCCAACAAAAAAGUAUGAAACCCUUUUAUUAUAUUCGAUCAAUACAGCCAUAUUUGGCUGAAAUGUUGCACGUUCAUUUUUUAAGUGCACAAAUGUUGUCACAAAGUUCAAUAUGGCGCACGUCGUGCCUCAACCCAACCCGUUUUUCUUUUCUUUUUCCUGUGAAGCUCGAUAACUUUUUUCUCUCUCUCUUAUGUGUUUUGCAUUUAUUCUUGUAUUUAUUUAUUUGCAUUCUUGUUUAUGUAUUUGCAGUGCGUUUUAUACUUUGCACCAAGUUUUGCCUUCGUUUUUAGGAAAUGCAAUUUACAAUGUAUACCUAAUCUAUUAUUACGAAUGUUGGAUCUAGAAUAACGACUUUGGCGUGACUAGCAGCCGUGUCAUCAGGUAACCCUCUGGUGGAGAAAGGUGGAUACUAUUUUUUCUUUCUUACAUGGGAACUAGGUAAAGUAAAUGGGAAAAAGGCGAGAGAUUUUAUUUUUUGGCGCCAAUAUAAAGAAACACCUUCGAAAAAGAAAGCCCUGGGGGCAUUUGGAAAUAAUUUUUCAAAGUUUUGCUUUGGCGACGGUGGAUACAGUUAGCCUGGAACAGUUUCAAAUAAAUUUACAUCCAAAAUUCAAUAAUGAGACAAUUUAAUAAUUUUUUAAUCCCCAAAGAUAACGAAAUGAUCAAAUUGCAUAACGAAUUAAUCGGCUUACCAUUCGAAAUAAGAUGGCCGACUCGUCGAGUUCGUUUGGGACAAGCACCUCUGGCUGCACAGGCAAGCUAAAACCGUUUUCUGCGCCGGUGGCACUAACGAUGCAGCAAAACAAAAUAAAAAGCCUAGUUUCGCGACUUAGUCUUUUUGUUUUGAGGAGACGAUAAUAAAUCAAAUGAAAAUGCCUACAGCCAUAUGGGAUGAAGCAAUAAUGAUUUACCGAGCCCCCGCCAGUCCCUGGAAAUGAUCAUUUACUACAUCAGAGACUAGGUUUUUUUUCUUUUUUUUCUUCAAAGAAAGACAUGAUCACGCAAUUUUGCCAAUCCCCGUUCGUUGUUUUGUAGUAAACUACAUGUUAAUUUAUCGAUCGAAAGUAAAAGUUUGUUGGGAAUUCGCGUGAUCACGAUUUAUAAUCCAGACAGGAAAAUCCAUACGAUUUUCAGAAGCAUAUUAAGAAACUCGUACAUUCAAUCGACUUGCAAUAAAUACAAAAUCCUUGAAACAAAGAAACAUGUAUACAUCCUUUGUGAGUUUCUCUUCCACGACUUGUAGCCAUGGAAAAUUGAUCGAAACUUUAGAUGGCAACGUCUUCUGGCAUCACGGCGUUCUCUCUUUCCGGGCAGCUCAUCCCAAAGUCCAUCGAUUUCCGUCAUUGAGGAUGUUUUUUUUCCCCUUUUUCUUUUACUUCCGUCGUCAGCUGUUGAAUAAGCCAAGCAGACGACACCCACACAAAAUAUUUUGUAUUCUUUUGUCGUCUGCUUGCCAAGUUUCUUGGAUCGAUUCCAAUGGACGCUAACCAUUCGUAAAAAAUAUUCAUCGUAACAAUUCGUUUAUUGAAUUGAAUCAAGUAAUCAACACACACAGGCAACGUACCCAUUUCAAAAAGUUCCUUGUUUCAUGGUGGUGAUACUGUAUAUGUAGAAAGAAUUUUACAUACAUACACUGUGAACAUACAAAACAACAAUUUUUUUGUUUUCUGCAAAAGAAAGAAGAGACACACCAAGGCAUUUGGAACGAGUGAAAAUGAGAAGAAAAAAAAAAACAGCCCAUGCACUCAGUUUUGUGUUUUUAGUCUAAUGUAAUAAUUAAAUGUGUUUCGUUCCAUGUGUACAACACGAUUUGCCUUUCUGGAGACUGGAAAAAAAAACUCGUGAUUUUUUUCUUUCACCUCGAGAACAAAAGAGACAAAAAAUCCAAAUAUGACAUAAUAUGUAUAGUAGUUUAGUAUCAUAGAUAUUAAUUAUAUAGCAUUCUUUUUGCAGUUUUUCUUUUGAAUAAUCAAUAAUACAUGACAACAAUUGUUAUGUGCGCCAUCUUCCAGGUUGAAAAAAAAAAAGUUCCAGUGAAGCCGAAGAAAAACCAAAUAUACUUUAAAGAGAGAUCGAAAAAAGAAUUUUUUUGUUUUUGUUUUUCUUUUCAAAUCCAAUAUUAUGUGUGUGGCCUUCAAGUUUCACCGAGCAAAAACCCAUUUCCUCAUUUGACGUCGACGCUGUUUACAUUUUUGACAUUAUUUCUUUAAACCACGAAUUAAAAAGGGGGAUAAUAGAGAAAAGAAAAAAAAACCUAAAAACAUUAUUGUAUAACUUUGUACUUGGAUUGGUUUCGAGUCGUGUGUCUCUCUCGGUCAUGUUGCAAAUUCUCCCUCAGGUAAGAGACAAAAAAGACCAAUCUCCGGCAAGUCUCUCAAUGCAAUCUCCCUGAAUUCAUUAAUGUUUUGAACCCGUAAACCCAGUAAGGAUUAAAAAAAAAAAAAAGGUUUUGAGAAUUCACGACAUUUAAAUUACCACCUAAUUUUCUCCAAAAUAUUUUUUUUUAAGAUCAUUUUUUUUUAACUUCUUUUCCUUAUUGGACCCUUCCAGCUUUUUCCUGUUCUGAAAGACUGUAAUAAGAAAUGAAUCUUAAAUACGUAGGACAGUCUGUGUUGUCAGGGUCUUUCCAAUAUUUUGUUUCGAAUAAUAUUCUUAAUUAUAUUUAUAUAUAUUGUUUUAGAGGAGUAUACAAGCGAAAUAAUGUAUAGAAAAUAAUAAUAUCGCGCCCGCAAACGUGUGUGUCUGUGUGAGGAUUGGGGAACGAUAAACGAAAAACACAACAAGGACCAAAAAUUGUUGGGCGCUGAUGCACAAAGAGAU